This 109-nucleotide small nuclear RNA is filed under the name Pan troglodytes (chimpanzee). Lineage: Eukaryota; Metazoa; Chordata; Mammalia; Primates; Hominidae. The record is from RNAcentral.
GUGCUUGCUAUGGCAGCACAUAUACUAAAAUUGGAACCAUACAGAGAAGAUUAGCAUGGCCCCUGCAAAAAGAAAAAAAAAAAAAAAACACCGGUUAUUACAGCUUGGU